CCGCAGCAGCCGCGGUAAUUCCUACGGGAGGCAGCAGUGGGGAAUUUUGGACAAUGGGCGCAAGCCUGAUCCAGCCAUGCCGCGUGAGUGAAGAAGGCCUUCGGGUUGUAAAGCUCUUUCAGCCGGGAAGAAAAGGCUGCGACUAAUAAUCGUAGCUCAUGACGGUACCGGAAGAAGAAGCACCGGCUAACUACGUGCCAGCAGCCGCGGUAAU
RNAcentral lists this ribosomal RNA (214 nucleotides) under uncultured bacterium. RNAcentral describes it as "partial 16S ribosomal RNA". It matches the Rfam family "Bacterial small subunit ribosomal RNA", at positions 315 to 524 of the family's 1533-position model. The record is from RNAcentral.